RNAcentral lists this ribosomal RNA (497 nucleotides) under uncultured bacterium. RNAcentral describes it as "partial 16S ribosomal RNA". It matches the Rfam family "Bacterial small subunit ribosomal RNA", at positions 28 to 507 of the family's 1533-position model. The record is from RNAcentral.
GAUGAACGCUGGCGGCGUGCCUAAUACAUGCAAGUCGAGCGAACAGAUAAGGAGCUUGCUCCUUUGACGUUAGCGGCGGACGGGUGAGUAACACGUGGGUAACCUACCUAUAAGACUGGAAUAACUCCGGGAAACCGGGGCUAAUGCCGGAUAACAUGUUGAACCGCAUGGUUCUACAGUGAAAGGCGGCUUUGCUGUCACUUAUAGAUGGACCCGCGCCGUAUUAGCUAGUUGGUGAGGUAACGGCUCACCAAGGCAACGAUACGUAGCCGACCUGAGAGGGUGAUCGGCCACACUGGAACUGAGACACGGUCCAGACUCCUACGGGAGGCAGCAGUAGGGAAUCUUCCGCAAGGGGCGAAAGCCUGACGGAGCAACGCCGCGUGAGUGAUGAAGGUCUUCGGAUCGUAAAACUCUGUUAUUAGGGAAGAACAAAUGCGUAAGUAACUGUGCGCGUCUUGACGGUACCUAAUCAGAAAGCCACGGCUAACUACGUG